This 499-nucleotide unclassified non-coding RNA is filed under the name uncultured Glomus. Its description in RNAcentral is "SSU rRNA". It matches the Rfam family "Eukaryotic small subunit ribosomal RNA", at positions 591 to 1092 of the family's 1831-position model. Lineage: Eukaryota; Fungi; Glomeromycota; Glomeromycetes; Glomerales; Glomeraceae. The record is from RNAcentral.
CCAAUAGCGUAUAUUAAAGUUGCUGCAGUUAAAAAGCUCGUAGUUGAAUUUCGGGACUAAUAUGUCGGUCGUGCCUCGGUACGUACUGGUAUUUUUGGUUUCUCCCUUCUGACGAACCUUGAUGUCAUUAAUUUGGUGUCUUGGGAAAUCAGGACUGUUACUUUGAAAAAAUUAGAGUGUUUAAAGCAGGCUCACGCUUGAAUACAUUAGCAUGGAAUAAUGAAAUAGGACGUUUGAUUCUAUUUUGUUGGUUUCUAGGAUCGACGUAAUGAUUAAUAGGGAUAGUUGGGGGCAUUAGUAUUCAAUUGUCAGAGGUGAAAUUCUUGGAUUUAUUGAAGACUAACUACUGCGAAAGCAUUUACCAAGGAUGUUUUCAUUAAUCAAGAACGAAAGUUAGGGGAUCGAAGACGAUCAGAUACCGUCGUAGUCUUAACCAUAAACUAUGCCGACUAGGGAUCGGAUGAUGUUAAUUUUUUAAUGACUCAUUCGGCGCCUUACG